This 495-nucleotide ribosomal RNA is filed under the name Citrobacter sp. M2H2 3. RNAcentral describes it as "bacterial SSU rRNA". It matches the Rfam family "Bacterial small subunit ribosomal RNA", at positions 966 to 1481 of the family's 1533-position model. The record is from RNAcentral. Lineage: Bacteria; Pseudomonadati; Pseudomonadota; Gammaproteobacteria; Enterobacterales; Enterobacteriaceae.
GAACUUACCUGUCUUACAUCUGAGAAUUUCCGAGAUGGUUGGUGCCUUCGGGAAUCAGAGACAGGUGUGCAUGCUGUCGUCAGCUCGUGUUGUGAAAUGUUGGGUUAAGUCCCGCACGAGCGCACCCUUUCCUUUGUUGCCAGCGGUUCGGUGGGAACUCAAGGAGACUGCCAGUGCUAAACUGGAGGAGGUGGGGAUGACGUCAAGUCAUCAUGGCCCUUACGAGUAGGGCUACACACGUGCUACAAUGGCAUAUACAAAGAGAAGCGACCUCGCGAGAGCAAGCGGUCCUCAUAAAGUAUGUCGUAGUCCGGAUUGGAGUCUGCAACUCGACUCCAGGAAGUCGGAAUCGCUAGUAAUCGGGAUCAGAAUGCCACGGGGAAUACGUUCCCCGGCCCUGUACACACCGCCCGCCACACCAGGGGAGUGGGUGCAAAAGAAGAAGGAAGCUUAACUUAAGGAGGGCGCUAACACGGAUUGAUUCAUGACUGUGAU